RNAcentral lists this long non-coding RNA (256 nucleotides) under Ricinus communis (castor bean). RNAcentral's name for it is "long non-coding RNA (RCOM_LNC001826)". The record is from RNAcentral. Lineage: Eukaryota; Viridiplantae; Streptophyta; Magnoliopsida; Malpighiales; Euphorbiaceae.
CGCCAUGAAACUGGUGCCAUUGGAAAGCUUGAGCUGAGGAGAGUCCGGAUAUGCCCUCCGAUCAUCUAGUCCUCACCAGAGCUCGCUGGAAAAGCCAAAAAAUGUGGCUGCCAACACCUCGCCGAAACUCCCUCCUCCAGCCACCAAAGCCGAUGCUGCCACUCCCAAAAGGAAGCCCUCAACUCACCGGUCAAAACAAGACCAACCUCGCCGCCAUUAGUCAUCGGGAACACCCGGAACGGCACUGACAACCGCU